CAGUUGAAAAUGCAGAAAUCACCUGUCUUCUGUGUCACUCAUGCUGGAAGCUGGAGGCUGGAGCUGUUCCUAUUCGGCCAUCUUUUUGAUAGACAUUUUUAGGGGUAAAACAAGGAGAAAACGCCAAUUGAUUUCUAUUUAAAAGCAAAAAAAUCUCAGUGCCACCAGGACAAGAACAGAUUCACAGGCUGUUUCGAAAUAGAAGUACACAGCUGAGCACAAGCCUUCUAAUGAAGUAAUGGACCUUGACAAAGAUCAUCAGCCCUGAUACUAUCACAAAGAGACCAACCAGGUAAUGUAAUGUGGUUUUCCUGGUAUAAUUCGUAUAAUCAUCUAUGAAAGAUUCUUUUUUAUUUUAUUUCCAACUUCUGUUUUAAGUUCUGGAGUACAUG
This is a non-coding RNA of Chlorocebus sabaeus (green monkey), 392 nucleotides long. The record is from RefSeq and is a predicted model, not a curated record. Lineage: Eukaryota; Metazoa; Chordata; Mammalia; Primates; Cercopithecidae.